UACGUAGGGUGCAAGCGUUGUCCGGAAUUAUUGGGCGUAAAGAGCUCGUAGGCGGUUUUGUCGCGUCUGCUGUGAAAACCUAGGGCUUAACCCUGGGCCUGCAGUGGGUACGGGCAGACUAGAGUGCGGUAGGGGAGACUGGAAUUCCUGGUGUAGCGGUGAAAUGCGCAGAUAUCAGGAGGAACACCGGUGGCGAAGGCGGGUCUCUGGGCCGUAACUGACGCUGAGGAGCGAAAGCAUGGGGGAGCGAACAGG
This 255-nucleotide ribosomal RNA is filed under the name uncultured bacterium. RNAcentral describes it as "partial 16S ribosomal RNA". It matches the Rfam family "Bacterial small subunit ribosomal RNA", at positions 524 to 776 of the family's 1533-position model. The record is from RNAcentral.